Molecule: long non-coding RNA, 2805 nt
Organism: Bombus terrestris (buff-tailed bumblebee)
Lineage: Eukaryota; Metazoa; Arthropoda; Insecta; Hymenoptera; Apidae
Exons: 2
Source: RefSeq, a predicted model, not a curated record
GGCCUGAACUUAUGUACGUUUUUCCCAAUUGCGAACGAGACCAGGCAAUUCGACGUAUCCUUUCCAGCAUGUAUAUGGUACCUGGUCCUAUGAACCAUUUCCAGAAAUUCGGUCCAUGUAGUAUCGUCAAAAUCCAGAAUGUUUAACGAUCGAUUAAUGAAGAAUCGAAGGAUUAUAGGAUAAUGCCUGUUACUUCGGAUUAUCCUCUAAAUGCUAUAUCGAUCGAUAUACAAUGCAAUGAAAAAUUACUUAUUACCUCGAAACAUCCACCGCGUCGAACAAAUGGCAUGGAACAAAUCGUUAUUACGACGAGAAGAACGAUAAGGAUGACUCCGGUAGGAUUUGCAUAACCUGCUAUGAGCCCAAAUAGAGCUGGCCGACUUGUUAAUAGCCACUCAUACAUCGUAUAGUUGUUGUAGUUAAAAGCCUCGUCAUACACCACAAUAGUGCCUAAAAACAUUUAACGCUUUUACAAUUUAGAAUACAAUUAUCCUUGAUUACAGUUGAUAUCCGAAUGAAUAUUACGGUCGACUAAAGAAUAAUUUGCGAGCAUUCCUCCCGAGAAAUUCGACGGAACUGUACUUGUUCUAGAAAGAGAAGCUUAAGCUUAACUUUAUUUUCACUACCCCGAUUGUAUCGUAUCGUGGUAUAAUGUGAUAUCGUACCAAAAUUAAGAAGGUGCAUCACCGUGUGCACUACGCUGAAUAUACCAAUUAGAGCUCCAGACACUUUGUGAAGAUAGAUAUGUUGAUCUAAUGGCAGUACAGAAUUAAAGCCAUGAGUUCGUAGAAAGGUAAUACACUGACGCAACAUAAGAACCAGGAUGAAACUGCAGUUGAAGUUUAAACACUGGCCUGUAUUAAAAUUACGUUUAUGAAAAUAUGAAUGAUAAUGAUCAGUGAGGGCGAUUUAUAAAAUAUAGCAAAGGCGAGACAUUUACCACAGGCACGCGCAACCAUAACGUAGCCAUUAGACGUUCUAUAUUCGUAGAGUCUUGUUACGAAUAAGGCCACAUUGAUUGAGACGAAGAUCGAGAUGAAAACGAUGUAAACGUAAUUGUUUUUCAUAUAUGGCUUCGUUAACUGAUAAGGACGCAAUGAAGUGGUGAGAAAUUCAAACCGUGAUUUUCGCUUCGUUUCCGGCUUUGGCGGUACCAGCCAUCGGUCGAUACUGUAAUUCAAUAUUCCGUUGUUAAGAGUUUUCUAUUUAAAUUGCAACUUGAAAUUAUCUCCCUAUAAAUUAUAUCAAUUAUAUCGUUUCAUAGGUAUAAAUUAUAAUAUUGGAUAGGCGGAUUCCCAAUAAACUUGAAAUAAAAUUUAAAACAAACGGAAAAAGUGAUUCUCAGAUAAAGCCCUUUUCACCUAAUCGAUAAAUUUUCUAAUAAGCCUUCGUGCUUCUCCAAUUGUUUUUUUAAGGCUUCAAAGGUGAUGGCACCUCGGUUAGCCUGAUCAGCAUCAUCAAACAGGGCCAUAGUUAAUUCCUCAAUUUGUUCUUCGUUAAAUUGUAUACCAUUUUCUUCCAUACAGGCCCUCAUCACGUGUUCCAAUUCGCGAAGUUGUAUUAAUCCGUCACCUUUUCACGAACAACAAAUUUCACAACAAUUUAGAUUCGAUGACGAUUAUUACAGUUAUCGCUUGGCUCUUCGGUCGAUAGGAAUUUAGUUUAAUAUUUAAAGUUACUUCACCAUCUAUGUCGUAAACUUUGAAGAGAAAUUUUAUCUUAUCGUCGGGACUUUUUCCAGCGAACUGGUGCAUCGCAUCGAGGAACUCUUGAAGCGAUAUCGUUCCAGAAUUAUCCUUGUCGAAAAUUUGGAACACCCGGUCGGUGAAAAACGGCUGAAAAGAAAUUAUAUCUUCGAUUAUAUUUCAAGAGUAUAUGAAGAUUUACUGUUCUUUUCAUACUGUUGAUAAUUGAAGUUGAAUCAAUGAUAGAUAUGUAUGGUAAAGUACCGGGUUAUGGUAUAACAACAAGCGGGUAAAACCAAUCAAUGGUGCCGUAUAUCUAAUAUUUCGUAUUAUAAAAUGAACGAAAUGGAAUUGUAAAUAGAAAAAGAAGUAAAUUAAUCAAGAGAAGAAUAUUAAGGUGCAAAUUUCAUAUGUGAAAUACUUAUGCUUUCUGCCUACGUUCUUCGAAGUGACGAUUUUGUUAAAUUCCUCGCGCCUAAUUUCCUUUUCAUUGCCCACCGUCUGUUUAAAAAGUUUUUCCAGCCAUUCCAAACUGCGCUUGUCGAAGCCGGCGAGCGGUCUUUGAACAAAUUUUAUAAGAUAUCAACGAGCUAUUGACAAAUAAUACACGUAACAAAAGAUCUUAAGAAAUUAGGAUAUAUCGUUGAUGAAAUAUCUGCCAGAUAAUUAUACGAUUAUAAAUAACAAUGUUACCUGGUAUUGCUAAUUGUCGAGAGGAAUUCCAUGAUUUGAAACGAUGUUACAUAUCCCAAGUUUUCUUCGUCAAUCCGUCGAAAUAAUUUAUCUACGAUCUGUAAUAUAUGCAUAUACAUACAUCGGUGUCCUAGUAAACGUACGUCAGUGUAUACAUAUUUAUACAGGCACGCUAUGCCAUUUAACGAUAACGCUUACCUCUUUAGUAGAAAAUAUCUGUUGAAAUUUCGGAAAAGUUACUGGAUUAUCGCCACAUAUGCUGUACGCAACGUUCUCGAGCUGGAUAAUAAGAUCGUUUGGUUUGUCAUUUCUGUUACAAUAACAUAUAAGUUUAAUACAACGUAUAUAAUAUAUAAACGAUAAAUGUAAAAAGGUAGUGUUUAUUUGUAACAUGAUUUUGCAGAUAAUACAUAUAUGCAAUACCAUA